This 253-nucleotide ribosomal RNA is filed under the name uncultured bacterium. Its description in RNAcentral is "partial 16S ribosomal RNA". It matches the Rfam family "Bacterial small subunit ribosomal RNA", at positions 524 to 776 of the family's 1533-position model. The record is from RNAcentral.
UACGGGGGGGGCAAGCGUUGUUCGGAAUUACUGGGCGUAAAGGGCUCGUAGGCGGCCAACUAAGUCAGACGUGAAAUCCCUCGGCUUAACCGGGGAACUGCGUCUGAUACUGGAUGGCUUGAGUUUGGGAGAGGGAUGCGGAAUUCCAGGUGUAGCGGUGAAAUGCGUAGAUAUCUGGAGGAACACCGGUGGCGAAGGCGGCAUCCUGGACCAUAACUGACGCUGAGGCGCGAAAGCUAGGGGAGCAAACGGG